This 787-nucleotide long non-coding RNA is filed under the name Phoenix dactylifera (date palm). RNAcentral describes it as "long non-coding RNA (PDAC_LNC003916)". Lineage: Eukaryota; Viridiplantae; Streptophyta; Magnoliopsida; Arecales; Arecaceae. The record is from RNAcentral.
AGGGUAGGGUGGAGAUAAAUCUUUAGCAUAUAAAAGGACCCAGAUCCUCUGCAGUACACGAUUUGCACCGCAUAGUGUCGUAUCACAAUAAGUGGCUGCUAUUAGAAGAUGAACAAUUAUCAAUAGCAACACAUCAUGUAUGGCAUGUAAAAUCAUCUUGUAUGAUAGUGAUCUAUCUUCUGAUAGCAGCCAUUGGGUGCAGUAUAACAAUCUACGGUGCAAUCCAUACACUAUAGAGAAUUCGUGCUAGUCUAUGGCUUACGAUAGAGACAACAACCCUUUAGUCCAUGUAAAAUGAAACUAAAAUCUCUCUCUCUAGUCAAACACAUAUGUAGUACAAAAAUUCUGAAUGGCCAAAUUCAAGAAUACUGCAUGCGUAUAAUUGAAUGGUCAAAUUCAACAUGUUGAAUUACUUUUUAUAAGACUAGAAGGAUUUGUUUUGAAUCAAAUUGUACGAUCCUAUAGUGUCCAUAUUAGCAAGUCCUAGUCUACUUAUCUCAAUUGCAUUCCUAACUUAGAAGAAGGUAUAAUAAGCUUAAGAAUUGAUCAACAUUUUUUGACAUGUUCUAAAAUUUUUCCUAGAAAAGAUCUAGAUCUCAAAUCAGUCAUAUUUUGACCCCAUUAGAUUCAACUAUAGCCAACAUAUAAAGCUAUCUUACACAUAUUCUUCCACAGACUUUUCAAAUAGAUAUUGGAAUACUCAUCCAAAACGCCCAUUGGUGCAUCUAUCCAUGACAGGGAAGUAUUUAUUUCCGUCACACAUACAUGAAUGGGACCAAUCUGAAGG